GCUGGGCACAGUGGUGCAUGCCUGUAAUGCCAGCAACUCGGGAGGCUGAGGCAGGAGGAUCGCGAGUUCAAACCUAGCCUCAGCAACUUAGUGAGACCCUAAGCAACUAAGCAGGACCCUGUCUCUA
This 127-nucleotide small RNA is filed under the name Marmota monax (woodchuck). The record is from RNAcentral. Lineage: Eukaryota; Metazoa; Chordata; Mammalia; Rodentia; Sciuridae.